UAGCCUAGUGGUUAAGGCUAUGGAUCGCCAAUUCGGAAACGGCGGGUUCGAUUCCCGU
Non-coding RNA from Aedes albopictus (Asian tiger mosquito), 58 nucleotides. The record is from Rfam. NCBI's taxonomy places the organism in Eukaryota, Metazoa, Arthropoda, Insecta, Diptera, Culicidae.